RNAcentral lists this RNase P RNA (350 nucleotides) under human gut metagenome. RNAcentral's name for it is "Bacterial RNase P class B". It matches the Rfam family "Bacterial RNase P class B". From Rfam's summary of the family: Ribonuclease P (RNase P) is a ubiquitous endoribonuclease, found in archaea, bacteria and eukarya as well as chloroplasts and mitochondria. Its best characterised activity is the generation of mature 5'-ends of tRNAs by cleaving the 5'-leader elements of precursor-tRNAs. The record is from RNAcentral.
ACACAAACGCUGCUAAUUUAAUUUAGUAGAGGAAAGUCCACGCUCACACGUACCUGUAACGGACGUAGUGUUCAUGCAAAGGGAAAAAAUAACCUUUGGUAGGUAUUUUACCUAACGGCGCCGAGGUAACCUAUAGUUCUUUAGAAUAUGGUUAUAUUAGGCAUAAAGUGCCAAAGAGACGAGCUAGGUGGGAAACUAUCUAGGUGGAACGUUGGUAAACCCCAUGAGUGAGAAACCCAAAUUUGGUAGGGGAAUCUUUAUGAAGGAAUAAAAACGGAUUAAAGGAUGCUAAACUUUUAGCAUAGAUAAAUGUUUGUGACCAGACUAUCUGGUACAGAACGUGGCUUAUU